Molecule: ribosomal RNA, 495 nt
Filed under: uncultured bacterium
Lineage: Bacteria
Description: bacterial SSU rRNA
Rfam family: Bacterial small subunit ribosomal RNA
Source: RNAcentral
GAUGAACGCUAGCUACAGGCUUAACACAUGCAAGUCGAGGGGCAGCGGGAUUGAAGCUUGCUUCAAUUGCCGGCGACCGGCGCACGGGUGAGUAACGCGUAUCCAACCUUCCGUACACUCAGGGAUAGCCUUUCGAAAGAAAGAUUAAUACCUGAUGGUAUGAUGAGAUUGCAUGAUAGCAUCAUUAAAGAUUUAUCGGUGUACGAUGGGGAUGCGUUCCAUUAGGUAGCAGGCGGGGUAACGGCCCACCUAGCCUACGAUGGAUAGGGGUUCUGAGAGGAAGGCCCCCCCACAUUGGAACUGAGACACGGUCCAAACUCCUACGGGAGGCAGCAGUGAGGAAUAUUGGUCAAUGGGCGAGAGCCUGAACCAGCCAAGUAGCGUGAAGGAUGACUGCCCUAUGGGUUGUAAACUUCUUUUAUAAAGGAAUAAAGUCGGGUAUGGAUACCCGUUUGCAUGUACUUUAUGAAUAAGGAUCGGCUAACUCCGUGCCAG